CCUACGGUGGGCAGCAGUGAGGAAUAUUGGUCAAUGGACGGAAGUCUGAACCAGCCAUGCCGCGUGCGGGAAGACGGCUCUAUGAGUUGUAAACUGCUUUUGUACAAGAGUAAACCUGAGUACGUGUAUUGAGCUGAAAGUACUGUACGAAUAAGGAUCGGCUAACUCCGUGCCAGCAGCCGCGGUCAUACGGAGGAUCCAAGCUUUAUCCGGAAUUAUUGGGUUUAAAUGGUGCGUAGGCGGAUUGUUAAGUUGGAGGUGAAAUGUUGGAGCUGAACUCGAGAACUGCCGCUAAGACUGUGGAGCUAGAGAGUAGAUGCGGCAGGCGGAAUGCAUGGUGUAGCGGUGAAAUGCUUAGAGAUCAUACAGAACACCGAUUGCGAAGGCAGCUUACCAAUCAAUAUCUGACGUUGAUGCACGAAAGCGUGGGGAGCAAACAGGAUUAGAUACCCUAGUAGUC
This 460-nucleotide ribosomal RNA is filed under the name uncultured bacterium. RNAcentral describes it as "partial 16S ribosomal RNA". It matches the Rfam family "Bacterial small subunit ribosomal RNA", at positions 338 to 795 of the family's 1533-position model. The record is from RNAcentral.